This 1205-nucleotide ribosomal RNA is filed under the name Leotia lubrica. RNAcentral's name for it is "partial large subunit ribosomal RNA". It matches the Rfam family "Eukaryotic large subunit ribosomal RNA", at positions 43 to 1118 of the family's 3401-position model. The record is from RNAcentral. Lineage: Eukaryota; Fungi; Ascomycota; Leotiomycetes; Leotiales; Leotiaceae.
UGCAUAAGGGAGGAGAACCAACAGGGUAUUGCCUCAGUAACGGCGAGUGAAGCGGCAAGAGCUCAAAUUUGAAAUCUGGCCCCCCCCGGGUCCGAGUUGUAAUUUGUAGAGGAUGCUUCGGGCGUAGGUCCGGCCUAAGUCCCUUGGCACAGGGCGUCAUAGAGGGUGAGAACCCCGUAUGCGGCCGGGUGCCUAAACCCUUGUGAAGCUCCCUCGACGAGUCGAGUUGUUUGGGAUUGCAGCUCAAAAUGGGUGGUAAAUUUCAUCUAAAGCUAAAUACCGGCCAGAGACCGAUAGCGCACAAGUAGAGUGAUCGAAAGAUGAAAAGCACUUUGGAAAGAGAGUUAAAAGUACGUGAAAUUGUUGAAAGGGAAGCGCUUGCGACCAGACUUGGGCGCGGCCGAUCACCCGGCGUUCUCGCCGGUGCACUCGGCCGCGUGCCAGGCCAGCAUCGGUUCCGGCGGCCAGACAAAGGCCGGGCGAACGUGGCUCCCUCCGGGAGUGUUAUAGCGCCCGGCGCCAUGUGGCCUGCUGGGACCGAGGACCGCGCCUCUGGCUAGGAUGCUGGCGUAAUGGUCGCAAGCGACCCGUCUUGAAACACGGACCAAGGAGUGGAAUAAUCAUGCGAGUGUUUGGGUGUAAAACCCAUGCGCGGAAUGAAAGUGAACGGAAGUGAAAUCCCGCCAGGGCGCAUCAUCUACCGAUCCUGAUGUCUUCAGAUGGAUUUGAGUAACAGCAUGGCUGUUCCGACCCGAAAGAUGGUGAACUAUGCGUGGAUAGGGUGAAGCCAGAGGAAUCUCUGGUGGAGGCUCGCAGCGGUUCUGACGUGCUAAUCGAUCGUCAGAUCUGUACAUAGGGGCCAAUGACUAAUCGAACCAUCUGUAGCUGGUUUCAUGCCAAAUUUUCCCUCGGGAUCCCCAGGUACUAGAUGGUUCGAUUAGUCUUUCGCCCUAUGCCAGAUUUGAAGAUCGAUUUGACGUCAGAACGCUGGCGAGCUCACAGAAGUUUCUUCUGGCUUACCUAUCACGCUUAGUUACAUCUUUCGGGGUGGAAACAGGCAUGGCUCUACUCAAAUCAUCGAAGAACAUCAGGGAAUGCGGGUGCAUUAAGGCGCCUGGGCGGGAUUCCCUCUUCUCUUUUCAUUUCGCAGGGGGUGUAACAAACAUUCGAGAUUAUUCAUCUUGAUGCCGGUUUUUAGAAAGAGG